AUAUUGGCCAAAGGAAAGAUUUUGGUUGGCCAUAGCUUAUAUAGAGAUCUAUAUGCUCUGAAGUUUGAUUACAGUCGAGUCAUUGAUACGGCAUACAUCUUUAAGUAUGCGAAUUUACCUACUACUUCAUCAGCUUCUUUGAACAGCCUUUGCAAGUCUGUUUGUGGGUAUUCCGUUCGGGAAGACGGAGAACCACAUAACUGCUUGAAGGAUGCAGAAGCUGCGAUGAAUCUAGUUACUGCAAAGCUCAAGCAUGGAUUUAAUGAUCCCAUCGAAAUUGCGGAGAAUAGUGUAAGAGUUGAAAGGAAGUUCUUAGUCCUUCCCGUUGUUAUUCAAGUUGCAACAUGA
This 348-nucleotide ribosomal RNA is filed under the name Triticum aestivum (bread wheat). RNAcentral describes it as "partial small subunit ribosomal RNA". The record is from RNAcentral. Lineage: Eukaryota; Viridiplantae; Streptophyta; Magnoliopsida; Poales; Poaceae.